CACUUGCGGAUUAGUUUUGCAGACGAGGAUGGAUAUUGAGGGAGAGACAGGCACAGCAAUUCACUAUCAGUCAUUAUUUUGGGACAAGCUGUAAAGUAGCCUAUAGCAGCAAUGGUCUACAUCAUAGUUGAAUAAUAUCCGUGGUUUUGAAUUCUGCCCUUGGCAUUCCGUAGGCAGCCCGAUGUGAGUGAACGAGAUCGGAAUUCAGGUCCAGGUUUGGAAUUUACAAUAUUAUAUCUGUCGUCGUUGAUAGAAGAGAAGAAGGGGUUUAAGGAAGCGCUCAAGAUCGAAAGCGGUGCGAUUGGUUAAGGUCAGGUAGGAAUCGGGGAGCCGUUCGUUUAGGGAGCCGUUCGCUUAAAACCCCGUCCCCGUAUGCCUUGCGUUUAGACGCAAAUUCAUUUUCGUCUAUCCAUGUUCAAAUCGGGCAACUAUCCCAUGGCGGCGGAUACUGCGCCCACCACCAUGCAUGGGAGUUGGUUCAACAACACGGGCUACAUGGAAAACAAUAUGCCCGUGGCGGUGGAGAAACCGAAGAAAGCAUUUUACCUGGUCAGAAUGAUGUCUCUCAACAACAAUAAGAAAGGGCAACAAACCAAGCAUCAGCAAACCAACCACCAGCAUCACCAGAAUAACAAUAUGCCCUUCAUGAUACACUGUCACAUCGGAAAAGAGAUCAAACACAUUUGCAGCAACUGCAGUCGCGGGAACGAAACCCAGGACGCAGAGGAGGUUGAAAGGCGGUCCGCAAUGCGUUCCGAGUCUCUGGUCUCUGGCACACACACACCGCCCAUCCGCCGCCGGAGCAAGUUUGCCACUCUGGGCCGUCUCUUGAAGCCCUGGAAGUGGAGGAAGAAGAAGAGUGAGAAGUUCAAGCAGACCUCUACCGCGUUGGAGAGGAAGAUGUCGGUAAGGCAAAGCAGAGAAGAGCUGAUCAAGAGAGGUGUGCUGAAAGAGAUCUUUGAGAAAGCAACCGUGGAGUUCCGAUCCUCGAUGGAGGGUGGAGUCUGCUCUCGGGAGCCCUCUAGUGUGAAGUCGUCCAUGGUCCUGCCUUCCAAGAAAUCUGUUGGUUUUCCCAGCAAUGUUCAGGACAACGUCGCCAAGACCCCCAUGUACCACAAACAGCCCCCUGCGCUGCCCCCCAAACCUUUCAACAGGAUCCCCAACCACAGCACAGACUCUUGUCAGCAGAUGAAGCUGCCUUGUAUGCCAGGCCAGGGAGGCAAGCCAUCUCCUCCUCUACCUCCCAAGAAAUUGAUGAUCUGUGUGCCUCAAGGGGGAAUGGACAACUCUUGCUCCUCACCCUCUCCCCUCGGCACCUUCUCCCAACCGAAGUUCCCCCCUCCACAUGGCCACCAAGGCCAUCCCCCCACCAUGGCCCUCUGCUGCCCUCGCAUCUCACAUCCCUAGCCAACCUCCACCAGGGGCUCAAGGGGGGCGGGAAGCACCAUAACCACGGACACGCACACAACCAAGGCCACCAGCUCCAUCUGCAGUAUGGCUCCAUGCAAGGCCAUGCCCCCAGCCGCAUCAUCGAGGAGCUCAACAAGACGCUGGCCUUCAACCUGCAGAGGCUGGAGAACAAUGCAAUGCAUUCUGGUCAGUGUAGUCUUCUGGACAGAAGCCAGGUGCCCUCUGAGAUCAUCGACGAGGACGACAAAGAGAACAUGCCCAACGAGUCUGACUAUGAGGACCUGCCCAGCAUGUACAAAAACGAGGAUGAUGAUGAUGAUGAGGAUGAUGAAGAUGAUGACGAGGAUGAUGACUCGCUCUUCACAAGUACCCUGGGUCUGAAAGUGUUGAGGAAGGAUUCUCUGGCUGUCAAGCUGAGUAACCGUCCAUCUAAGAGCGAGCUGGAGGAGAAGAACAUCCUGCCCAUGCAGACUGAUGAGGAGAGGCUGGAGUCCAGGCAGCAGAUAGGCACCAAGCUCACACGGCAGUUGAGUCAGAGGCCCAGUGCUGAGGAACUGGAACAGAGGAAUAUCCUGAAACCGCUCAACGAACAGGAGGAGUUGGAGGAGAAGAGGGAAAUAAAACGCAGAUUAACGCGAAAGCUGAGCCAGAGGCCUACGGUGGAGGAGCUGAGACAGGCUAAGAUCCUGAUCCGCUUCAGUGACUACGUAGAGGUGUCCGAUGCCCCGGAACACGACAGACGGGCAGACAAACCCUGGACCCGCCUCACGGCAGCCGACAAGGCAGCCAUACGGAAGGAACUCAACGAUUUCAAGAGCCAUGAAAUGGAAGUGCACGAGUCAAGUCGCCAUUUAACCAGGUUUCACAGGCCGUAGACCAUCACUGUCUAUAGGAACGCCAGACAGACUGGCUGUUUUCCUUCACUGAGAACCAUAAGUGCUGGACAGUAAAUGGUGCCCAUUUCUACAAUAAGGCCAUGUCUUCUGAUUUGAAAUGCCUUUUCAAUACCCUGCUACUCAGUCGGUCGGUACCUUCCCCUCUAGAGACAAAACAGUAGUUGUACACCUUUAGUAGCCCCUCCAACUCCCACAAUUUUCUCAAUGUAACUGACUGACGAGUUCAUCCCACACCUUAGUGCUGAGCUCUCAGGAAGGCGCUCAGUGCUUUGGGGAUGAUGAUAGUGGGAUGGGCUGGUUGGGAUUGGACACCUGCCAUCUCUACUCCACUGACUGGCUGUCAUGGUUACCAGGUACCUAUGCCCCGCCCUUGUCACUGUCUCAUCAUUGGCUUGUCACUAUUGGUGGAAGGAGCCUCCACAUCCUCACUCAAUCAGAAAGGACAUUUUUACUCCCUCUACCCAUGGACGUUGCAAGAGAUGGACUUCAACCACUUGGAGAAUGUUAUCCUUGGUCUGUUAAGAUGAACCUAGUGCUGUUAGUGGAUUAAUCUACAGUGUUUAAUUGGUUAAAGAGAAAAAGAAGUGAGGGGUCUGGUCCAUAAAACAUUUCAGAAUUACGUGCAAUAUUUUCCCUCUGUGCUCUCUCCUUAGGUCAUAGCGCCCUCUGGGGUUCACCCUGUCAUGACCAUGCAAUCCCACCUCUACUUCUCCCCAUGGUGGUCAGUUCAGUUCCCACUGUACUGACAAUGUUGAUCUAUUGCUAACUGUGAAUUUGAAAGUGCAGACAAUGUUUUGUUUACACUCUCCAAAUAUACAUUGUGUUUAUACAGAGGUAUGAAGUAACCAUUUUAAAUAGAAUCAUGCUUCAAUACUGUUCGUUUCAUGUCGGGAUCCUGAAAGGAUGAAAGGGUAACCGUAAUGAAAAAUGUAGCUGGCAGAUAAUGCACUGACUGUAUGUGUUAAGGUUGAACAGCUUUUUACAUAAUUUUUAUUUUUAAAAGUGACACUUUGAUUUUAAACUGUGGGUUAUGUGGCUUUAGGGCAUGUCACAGGUCUCUGAUGUUUGAAUAUAGACUCUUUCAGAGAAGAGCUAUUUUCUGUCCCAAAUCUCAUCCUGUUUUCAUUAUAGUACACUACUUUUGACCAGAGACGCAUAUGGGCCCUGGUCAAAAGUAGUGUACUAAAUAGGGAAUAGGGUUCCAUUUAGGAUGUACAUGUGGCUCGCCAUCCAGGGAUACUUUAUGCUUUUUUCUGUUGACAAUGAAGCUUUUCUCAUUUUGCAGUCUUUUGUUUAAUGAACUCUGCUGACGUGAGUGCACGGCACUCUAUUUAUUUUUCAGUCUUUUCUGUAUAUUUAAGAACAAGUUAUAUUAUUUCUGCUGCUUGGCAAACUGUAUGAAAACCUUUUUAGUUGGCUUGUAAACGGUCCUCUCCCUUUUUUUGUGUUUUUUGUUGCCAUUUUAGGAAAGGCCCCAAUGGGAAUAUCAGGAUUGAAAUGCUAUUGGGCACUGUUUUGAGUUGUUUUAAAAUGCUACGUAUUACUCUUAUAGUUGCAAUAUGAAAAUGUUUGCUUGUCAUAAGACGUAGAUUAGAUCUGGUGAAGGGUCUGAUUGGCCACCUAAGGUAUUAAUGUAUUUGCAUAGGAAAAUGCACCAACAAAAAGACAUCCUCUGUCAUUUUUAACGUCUUUGUAGUUGAGGCCCAAUGGAAUUUCCGAAAACAUUAAGGAACAUCGAAGGUAUUGCACAUAUGUUUGGUUAUCAGGUAAACAUGGGUCAUUAUAUUAUAUAAAAUGUUAGUUUAUUCUCCAUAUUACUUAUUGCUUCGUUUAUUACACAGCUUAUUCUCUUUCCCAAUGUCCCUGUUUGUUUUUCCUAAUUUCAUUGGAACAACUUAAAUCAGUAGAUUCUUCAAGAGAUGAUGGGGUCAUGUUUUCUGCUCGAAUCAGCAUCCUUGUUGAUUCCAGCAUCUUGCCAACCACGUCAUCAUGUUCGCCUCAAACCGUUUUGGGCAUUGUUUUGGAUCCUAACGCUUUGAUCAACAUCUUGAGGGGGCUCCUCUCUCUUUUGACAGACCACUUAACCACAGAGCAUAGUAUGAGGAUGGUGUCAUGUUGGAAUGAAGGAAUAUGAAUUCAGACAUAAACUUUUGUUACAUGUACUUGUUGAGAAUUUAAUUUGAAAGUGAUUUGAUUUAUUUUGGAAAUAGGAAUUCCUUUCCAUUUACAAUGUGAAUGACUCCCUUGUCUGUCUCUCUAUUAAACGUCAUUAUGUAUUUUGCA
Molecule: RNA transcript, 4589 nt
Organism: Oncorhynchus gorbuscha (pink salmon)
Lineage: Eukaryota; Metazoa; Chordata; Actinopteri; Salmoniformes; Salmonidae
Gene name: phosphatase and actin regulator 1-like
Exons: 12
Source: RefSeq, a predicted model, not a curated record